RNAcentral lists this ribosomal RNA (460 nucleotides) under uncultured bacterium. RNAcentral's name for it is "partial 16S ribosomal RNA". It matches the Rfam family "Bacterial small subunit ribosomal RNA", at positions 338 to 795 of the family's 1533-position model. The record is from RNAcentral.
CCUACGGGAGGCAGCAGUGAGGAAUAUUGGUCAAUGGACGAGAGUCUGAACCAGCCAAGUAGCGUGAAGGAUGACUGCCCUAUGGGUUGUAAACUUCUUUUAUAUGGGAAUAAAACGUUCCACGUGUGGGAUUUUGUAUGUCCCAUAUGAAUAAGGAUCGGCUAACUCCGUGCCAGCAGCAGCGGUAAUACGGAGGAUCCGAGCGUUAUCCGGAUUUAUUGGGUUUAAAGGGAGCGUAGGUGGAUUGAUAAGUCAGUUGUGAAAGUUUGCGGCUCAACCGUAAAAUUGCAGUUGAAACUGGCAGUCUUGAGUACAGUAGAGGUGGGCGGAAUUCGUGGUGUAGCGGUGAAAUGCUUAGAUAUCACGAAGAACUCCGAUUGCGAAGGCAGUUCACUGGACUGCAACUGACACUGAGGCUCGAAAGUGUGGGUAUCAAACAGGAUUAGAUACCCGUGUAGUC